This 253-nucleotide ribosomal RNA is filed under the name uncultured bacterium. RNAcentral describes it as "partial 16S ribosomal RNA". It matches the Rfam family "Bacterial small subunit ribosomal RNA", at positions 524 to 776 of the family's 1533-position model. The record is from RNAcentral.
UACAGGGGGGGCAAGCGUUGUUCGGAAUUACUGGGCGUAAAGGGUCUGUAGGUGGCUUGCUAAGUCAGACGUGAAAUCCCUCAGCUUAACUGGGGAACUGCGUCUGAUACUGGAUGGCUUGGAUUCGGGAGAGGAAUGCGGAAUUCCAGGUGUAGCGGUGAAAUGCGUAGAUAUCUGGAGGAACACCGGUGGCGAAGGCGGCAUUCUGGACCGAUAUUGACGCUGAGGAGCGAAAGCCAGGGGAGCAAACGGG